Molecule: non-coding RNA, 1855 nt
Organism: Manis javanica (Malayan pangolin)
Lineage: Eukaryota; Metazoa; Chordata; Mammalia; Pholidota; Manidae
Source: RefSeq, a predicted model, not a curated record
CCAGAACAGGAUGAAGCUGAUGGCGGACAGCUAUGACGAGGACCACCACCAUUACCACCACCACCACCACCACCACCACCACCGGUCUCCCGGGAGGUCGCAGCACGCCAACCACAGGCCCUCUCCUGACCAGGAUGACGAGGAGGGCAUAUGGGCAUAGCCGGGCCUGUAAACCAAAGUUCCAGUUUUGUUUUGAGGGAUGAUCCAGCUCUGUCGGAGGCACGGAGGCACAGUCAAAUCUCAUGCUGUACAUUGAUCACCUGUCCAACCUUUGCCUAGAGUGGGAGCCCCAGUCUCUUCGAGAGAUCCAACUCGACCUGUCUGUAAAGAAGAGGAGGAGGGAGACAGCGGGGAGGAUCCGGUGGCAGUUUAACACCAGAGCGGGUCCAGUGUUUGCACUGGCCCGUUUGGAGCUACAGAAGGGCUGACUAAAGGGAAAACAUAGUCCUGCAGCCAUAUUCUGAUCAUCUAUUGCAGUGCGGUUCACAUCACUGUCCACCACCUGGGAUGGCUCAUCAGGCCGAAGAGGAUGUUUCACUUUCCUCACUGAGCAGGAUUCCGGCCGGCCUGGUUGCUUCCUCCGUCACCUCUGUCGGUUCUCUGGCAUCAGAUACGUCAGAAAGGAAGAAUACUAGAAGGAGGAAAAUGACAGAGCUCCCGGGGUUUUUGUUGUUGGGAUCUGGGCAUUUAAAACGUGACCAUCCCUUCAGAAUAUCAUUAUUUGAUAGAGUUUUAUUUAUGUUCCUAAGACAUCAUUGGAUAAGUUUGAACUCCGUGACAUUUCAGCUGUGGGUUCAGCUUCUGCUGGACAACUAGCUUCACCUCCAGGUUUCCCGCUGGUUCAGUCUAAGUGGUCGUUUCCUAAUGCAUUAGAUUAUCAAAAAGUGUGACUUCUGGGAGUGAGUGGCGUUGGCAGUGUUUGUAUACUAAGGUGUGUGGAGUGUUUGGCAAAGAAACCAAAACCCCAAAGAUGGCAAGCCUGUACCCUCCUCUAUUUCUUUAACCCGCUGUCCGAAGAGCCCCAAUUUGACGGUGAUAACCAGUAGUUUUCCUCUGGGCCAGGUUGGAAAUGAAAUCAAUUUUUUGAAACCACUAAUACUUGCCAAGAAAUCGCCUUAUGAGAACAUGGUGUGUGUCUCUGACAAUGUCUGGUACAUCUAAAUUGAUCAUUCAUGAUUUUUAUCAACCCUGUGUUUGUACCGGGAGUGGCAAACACCUGAGGGAACAGCAUAUUUCUGCCCAGCCUGUUCCGUACAACCCCUGGCUGGGAGGGUGACCAAACCUCAGACUCUUACCAUUCCCGGACUUGCAGGUCUGCAUUAAGAAGCUGGAACUCACUCGCAUUUCAAGAUCUCAACCAUGUAAGCUUAUAUCCUGUAAAUGAAGGGUCAUGUCUCAAAAAAAAAAAAAAAAAUGUCUCCAACAUGGAUUCCAAAGCAUUUUCAGCAUCAAACAUGAAAACAUUGAUGAAUGAGGAAAAAAAAAAUCACAAAAGCUGUGUAUCUGUAUAUAGCUCUACACAACAUGUUUGUGGGUACGGAGUCAUUAUUUAAAGGACAUGCCAGGGAAAGAGACCACGUUUUGAGGUCUUUUACAUAUAGUGACAUGGUACUAAGGAGAAUUAAACUCCUACUGUUUCCUCUGAAGAUAACAAAAAAAUAUUUUAAGUUGUUAUAACUUUGUAAAACUCAUGACCAAGUCUGGAAAACAUGUGCGGCCUCGUGUAUUGAUCUACUUUCUUGUCAAUGGAAGAAAGCCUUCCAUGUGUAUGCAAGUGGGGGAUGAAAAUUUGCAUUUUUCAAGGACAAACAGUGACGUUAAGCAUGAGAGGCCUUAAUAAAUAUAGUUGUCUUUC